RNAcentral lists this ribosomal RNA (1372 nucleotides) under uncultured bacterium. RNAcentral's name for it is "bacterial SSU rRNA". It matches the Rfam family "Bacterial small subunit ribosomal RNA", at positions 28 to 1381 of the family's 1533-position model. The record is from RNAcentral.
GAUGAACGCUGGCGGCGUGCCUAAUACGUGCAAGUCGAGCGAACGGACGAGAAGCUUGCUUCUCUGAUGUUAGCGGCGGACGGGUGAGUAACACGUGGAUAACCUACCUAUAAGACUGGGAUAACUUCGGGAAACCGGAGCUAAUACCGGAUAAUAUUUUGAACCGCAUGGUUCAAAAGUGAAAGACGGUCUUGCUGUCACUUAUAGAUGGAUCCGCGCUGCAUUAGCUAGUUGGUAAGGUAACGGCUUACCAAGGCAACGAUGCAUAGCCGACCUGAGAGGGUGAUCGGCCACACUGGAACUGAGACACGGUCCAGACUCCUACGGGAGGCAGCAGUAGGGAAUCUUCCGCAAUGGGCGAAAGCCUGACGGAGCAACGCCGCGUGAGUGAUGAAGGUCUUCGGAUCGUAAAACUCUGUUAUUAGGGAAGAACAUAUGUGUAAGUAACUGUGCACAUCUUGACGGUACCUAAUCAGAAAGCCACGGCUAACUACGUGCCAGCAGCCGCGGUAAUACGUAGGUGGCAAGCGUUAUCCGGAAUUAUUGGGCGUAAAGCGCGCGUAGGCGGUUUUUUAAGUCUGAUGUGAAAGCCCACGGCUCAACCGUGGAGGGUCAUUGGAAACUGGAAAACUUGAGUGCAGAAGAGGAAAGUGGAAUUCCAUGUGUAGCGGUGAAAUGCGCAGAGAUAUGGAGGAACACCAGUGGCGAAGGCGACUUUCUGGUCUGUAACUGACGCUGAUGUGCGAAAGCGUGGGGAUCAAACAGGAUUAGAUACCCUGGUAGUCCACGCCGUGAACGAUGAGUGCUAAGUGUUAGGGGGUUUCCGCCCCUUAGUGCUGCAGCUAACGCAUUAAGCACUCCGCCUGGGGAGUACGACCGCAAGGUUGAAACUCAAAGGAAUUGACGGGGACCCGCACAAGCGGUGGAGCAUGUGGUUUAAUUCGAAGCAACGCGAAGAACCUUACCGAAUCUUGACAUCCUUUGACAACUCUAGAGAUAGAGCCUUCCCCUUCGGGGGACAAAGUGACAGGUGGCGCAUGGUUGUCGUCAGCUCGUGUCGUGAGAUGUUGGGUUAAGUCCCGCAACGAGCGCAACCCUUAAGCUUAGUUGCCAUCAUUAAGUUGGGCACUCUAAGUUGACUGCCGGUGACAAACCGGAGGAAGGUGGGGAUGACGUCAAAUCAUCAUGCCCCUUAUGAUUUGGGCUACACACGUGCUACAAUGGACAAUACAAAGGGCAGCGAAACCGCGAGGUCAAGCAAAUCCCAUAAAGUUGUUCUCAGUUCGGAUUGUAGUCUGCAACUCGACUACAUGAAGCUGGAAUCGCUAGUAAUCGUAGAUCAGCAUGCUACGGUGAAUACGUUCCCGGGUCU